This 245-nucleotide ribosomal RNA is filed under the name uncultured bacterium. Its description in RNAcentral is "partial 16S ribosomal RNA". It matches the Rfam family "Bacterial small subunit ribosomal RNA", at positions 524 to 768 of the family's 1533-position model. The record is from RNAcentral.
UACGUAUGGGGCGAGCGUUAUUCGGAUUCAUUGGGCGUAAAGCGUAUGUAGGUGGUUUGCCAAGUUGACUGUGAAAUUUCCGGGCUUAACCCGGAACCUGCAGUCAAAACUAGCAGACUUGAGUUCAGAAGAGGAUAAUGGAAUUCCAGGUGUAGGGGUGAAAUCUGUAGAUAUCUGGAAGAACACCAGUGGCGAAGGCGAUUAUCUGGUCUGAUACUGACACUUAGAUACGAAAGCUAGGGGAG